RNAcentral lists this transfer RNA (77 nucleotides) under Bifidobacterium breve. RNAcentral's name for it is "tRNA-Leu". It matches the Rfam family "tRNA". Rfam says of the family: Transfer RNA (tRNA) molecules are approximately 80 nucleotides in length. The record is from RNAcentral. Lineage: Bacteria; Bacillati; Actinomycetota; Actinomycetes; Bifidobacteriales; Bifidobacteriaceae.
GCUUUCGUAGCCCAACCGGUAGAGGCAACAGUCUAAGGAACUGCCCAGUCCGGGUUCGAAUCCCGGCGAAAGCACCA